AAAUUGAAGAGUUUGAUCAUGGCUCAGAUUGAACGCUGGCGGCAGGCCUAACACAUGCAAGUCGAGCGGUAGCACAGAAGAGCUUGCUCUUUGGGUGACGAGCGGCGGACGGGUGAGUAAUGUCUGGGAAACUGCCUGAUGGAGGGGGAUAACUACUGGAAACGGUAGCUAAUACCGCAUAACCUCGCAAGAGCAAAGAGGGGGACCUUCGGGCCUCUCGCCAUUAGAUGUGCCCAGAUGGGAUUAGCUAGUAGGUGAGGUAAUGGCUCACCUAGGCGACGAUCCCUAGCUGGUCUGAGAGGAUGACCAGCCACACUGGAACUGAGACACGGUCCAGACUCCUACGGGAGGCAGCAGUGGGGAAUAUUGCACAAUGGGCGCAAGCCUGAUGCAGCCAUGCCGCGUGUGUGAAGAAGGCCUUCGGGUUGUAAAGCACUUUCAGCGGGGAGGAAGGCGGUAAGGUUAAUAACCUUAUCGAUUGACGUUACCCGCAGAAGAAGCACCGGCUAACUCCGUGCCAGCAGCCGCGGUAAUACGGAGGGUGCAAGCGUUAAUCGGAAUGACUGGGCGUAAAGCGCACGCAGGCGGUCUGUUAAGUUGGAUGUGAAAUCCCCGGGCUUAACCUGGGAACUGCAUUCAAAACUGACAGGCUAGAGUCUUGUAGAGGGGGGUAGAAUUCCAGGUGUAGCGGUGAAAUGCGUAGAGAUCUGGAGGAAUACCGGUGGCGAAGGCGGCCCCCUGGACAAAGACUGACGCUCAGGUGCGAAAGCGUGGGGAGCAAACAGGAUUAGAUACCCUGGUAGUCCACGCUGUAAACGAUGUCGAUUUGGAGGUUGUGCCCUUGAGGCGUGGCUUCCGGAGCUAACGCGUUAAAUCGACCGCCUGGGGAGUACGGCCGCAAGGUUAAAACUCAAAUGAAUUGACGGGGGCCCGCACAAGCGGUGGAGCAUGUGGUUUAAUUCGAUGCAACGCGAAGAACCUUACCUACUCUUGACAUCCAGAGAACUUAGCAGAGAUGCUUUGGUGCCUUCGGGAACUCUGAGACAGGUGCUGCAUGGCUGUCGUCAGCUCGUGUUGUGAAAUGUUGGGUUAAGUCCCGCAACGAGCGCAACCCUUAUCCUUUGUUGCCAGCGAUUCGGUCGGGAACUCAAAGGAGACUGCCGGUGAUAAACCGGAGGAAGGUGGGGAUGACGUCAAGUCAUCAUGGCCCUUACGAGUAGGGCUACACACGUGCUACAAUGGCGUAUACAAAGAGAAGCGACCUCGCGAGAGCAAGCGGACCUCAUAAAGUACGUCGUAGUCCGGAUUGGAGUCUGCAACUCGACUCCAUGAAGUCGGAAUCGCUAGUAAUCGUAGAUCAGAAUGCUACGGUGAAUACGUUCCCGGGCCUUGUACACACCGCCCGUCACACCAUGGGAGUGGGUUGCAAAAGAAGUAGGUAGCUUAACCUUCGGGAGGGCGCUUACCACUUUGUGAUUCAUGACUGGGGUGAAGUCGUAACAAGGUAACCGUAGGGGAACCUGCGGUUGGAUCACCUCCUUACCAAGAAG
RNAcentral lists this ribosomal RNA (1550 nucleotides) under Pectobacterium brasiliense. RNAcentral describes it as "bacterial SSU rRNA". It matches the Rfam family "Bacterial small subunit ribosomal RNA". Lineage: Bacteria; Pseudomonadati; Pseudomonadota; Gammaproteobacteria; Enterobacterales; Pectobacteriaceae. The record is from RNAcentral.